RNAcentral lists this ribosomal RNA (484 nucleotides) under uncultured bacterium. RNAcentral describes it as "partial 16S ribosomal RNA". It matches the Rfam family "Bacterial small subunit ribosomal RNA", at positions 28 to 523 of the family's 1533-position model. The record is from RNAcentral.
GACGAACGCUGGCGGCGUGCUUAACACAUGCAAGUCGAACGGAAAGGCCCUGCUUUUGUGGGGUGCUCGAGUGGCGAACGGGUGAGUAACACGUGAGUAACCUGCCCUUGACUUUGGGAUAACUUCAGGAAACUGGGGCUAAUACCGGAUAGGAGCUCCUGCUGCAUGGUGGGGGUUGGAAAGUUUCGGCGGUUGGGGAUGGACUCGCGGCAUAUCAGCUUGUUGGUGGGGUAGUGGCUUACCAAGGCUUUGACGGGAAGCCGGCCUGAGAGGGUGAACGGCCACAUUGGGACUGAGAUACGGCCCAGACUCCUACGGGAGGCAGCAGUGGGGAAUAUUGCACAAUGGGCGGAAGCCUGAUGCAGCAACGCCGCGUGCGGGAUGACGGCCUUCGGGUUGUAAACCGCUUUCGCCUGUGACGAAGCGUGAGUGACGGUAAUGGGUAAAGAAGCACCGGCUAACUACGUGCCAGCAGCCGCGGUAA